This 658-nucleotide ribosomal RNA is filed under the name uncultured bacterium. Its description in RNAcentral is "bacterial SSU rRNA". It matches the Rfam family "Bacterial small subunit ribosomal RNA", at positions 833 to 1490 of the family's 1533-position model. The record is from RNAcentral.
GAGAAUCCUCGGUCCGCAGCUAACGCAAUAAGCACUCCACCUGGGGAGUACGACCGCAAGGUUGAAACUCAAAAGGAAUUGACGGGGGCCCGCACAAGCGGUGGAGCAUGUGGUUUAAUUCGAAGCAACGCGAAGACCCUUACCAAGGCUUGACAUCCCGAUGACCGCUCUAGAGAUAGAGCUUCUCUUCGGAGCAUCGGUGACAGGUGGUGCAUGGUUGUCGUCAGCUCGUGUCGUGAGAUGUUGGGUUAAGUCCCGCAACGAGCGCAACCCUUAUCUUCAGUAGCCAUCAUUCGGUUGGGCACUCUGGAGAGACUGCCGUGGAUAACACGGAGGAAGGUGGGGAUGACGUCAAAUCAUCAUGCCCCUUAUGUCUUGGGCUACACACGUGCUACAAUGGCUGGUAACAAAGUGACGCGAAACGGCGACGUUAAGCAAAUCACAAAAACCCAGUCCCAGUUCGGAUUGUAGUCUGCAACUCGACUACAUGAAGCUGGAAUCGCUAGUAAUCGCGAAUCAGCAUGUCGCGGUGAAUACGUUCCCGGGCCUUGUACACACCGCCCGUCACACCAUGGGAGUUGGAAGCACCCGAAGUCGGUGACCUAACCGUAAGGAAGGAGCCGCCGAAGGUGAAGCCAGUGACUGGGGUGAAGUCGUA